CUGGCGGCUGCGGCGGCCCAGAUCCAUCCUCAAGCUAGGCAAAGUCAGAAAAUCUCCGAUGGCUCCUGACUGUCAUGUCGUCGGCGGCGCGGUUUGAGGCAGACCAAAUCAGAUCUCCUCGGCUACUAUGCUCCACCCCGCAGUGUGCUCGUACAGGCUCGCAACCUCUCAUCUGAAUCUUCGUUAGCUGUCGAUGGAUGAUGCUCUGACAAUGGGAAACAUCAGGACUACAGAUGGACAAAAGAAGAUUUUCUCAAAGUCUUCCCUUCCUUAAGAUUGCAAGAACUUCUCAGCAUACGCCUAAACCUGUCUUGUGUCCAACCGAAUCAUGUUUGUUUGGUUUGAUCUCUCCCAGCACAUGAAGCUUGGUGAGCAAGAAGCAGUUCUAGGGAAAGGCUAGAGCUUUUCUGUCAUGUACCAUCAAUAUAGUAAAGCUGGUCUUUUUUAAAAUAGCAAUGCCAGUUGAAUAGUGAUUGUAUUAGUCCCUAAUAGUGUCUUGCUUGCCGUGUACUAAAAAUGGUGCUACCAUGUAUCAUCAAGAUAUAUACGAAUGUAUGUCUUUUAUGUUAGUCCAGACCGCGGACUAACAUUUAGUUAUGCUUAAAA
Aegilops tauschii subsp. strangulata is the source of this 606-nucleotide long non-coding RNA. RefSeq lists it as uncharacterized. NCBI's taxonomy places the organism in Eukaryota, Viridiplantae, Streptophyta, Magnoliopsida, Poales, Poaceae. The record is from RefSeq and is a predicted model, not a curated record.